GCAACGAUGGUUCAGUGGUAGAAUUCUUCCCUUCGGUGCAGGAGACCCUGGUUCAGUUCCUGGCCAUCGCA
This 71-nucleotide transfer RNA is filed under the name Loxodonta africana (African savanna elephant). It matches the Rfam family "tRNA". Rfam says of the family: Transfer RNA (tRNA) molecules are approximately 80 nucleotides in length. Lineage: Eukaryota; Metazoa; Chordata; Mammalia; Proboscidea; Elephantidae. The record is from Rfam by way of RNAcentral.